RNAcentral lists this transfer RNA (77 nucleotides) under Bacteroidales bacterium. RNAcentral's name for it is "tRNA-Pro". It matches the Rfam family "tRNA". From Rfam's summary of the family: Transfer RNA (tRNA) molecules are approximately 80 nucleotides in length. The record is from RNAcentral. Lineage: Bacteria; Pseudomonadati; Bacteroidota; Bacteroidia; Bacteroidales.
UGGGGUGUAGCCCCGCCAAUGGGCGGGGUGCCUGGUUUGGGACCAGGAGGUCGUCGGUUCGAGUCCGGCCACCCCGA